CCGCGGUGCAUUGCUGUUGCAUUGCAUGUGUGUAAGGCGGGUGCAGUGCCUCGGCAGUGCACCCCGG
RNAcentral lists this microRNA precursor (67 nucleotides) under Heterocephalus glaber (naked mole-rat). RNAcentral describes it as "mir-33 microRNA precursor family". It matches the Rfam family "mir-33 microRNA precursor family". Lineage: Eukaryota; Metazoa; Chordata; Mammalia; Rodentia; Bathyergidae. The record is from Rfam by way of RNAcentral.